This 253-nucleotide ribosomal RNA is filed under the name uncultured bacterium. RNAcentral's name for it is "partial 16S ribosomal RNA". It matches the Rfam family "Bacterial small subunit ribosomal RNA", at positions 524 to 776 of the family's 1533-position model. The record is from RNAcentral.
GACGGAAGGUGCAAGCGUUGCUCGGAAUUACUGGGCGUAAAGCGUGCGUAGACGGUUAUGUAAGUCGGGUGUGAAAGCCCCGGGCUCAACCUGGGAAUGCCAUUCGAGACUGCAUAGCUAGGGUGCGGAAGAGGGAAGCGGAAUUUCCGGUGUAGCGGUGAAAUGCGUAGAUAUCGGAAGGAACACCAGUGGCGAAAGCGGCUUCCUGGUCCAGCACCGACGUUCAGGCACGAAAGCGUGGGGAGCAAACAGG